UACGUAGGAUCCAAGCGUUGUCCGGAUUUACUGGGUAUAAAGGGUGCGUAGGCGGUCUUGUGCGUCAGAGGUGAAAUAUCCGGGCUUAACCCGGAGGGUGCCUUUGAUACGGCAGGACUUGAGUACGAGAGAGGAUGAUGGAAUUCCUGGUGUAGCGGUGAAAUGCGUAGAUAUCAGGAGGAACACCGGUGGCGAAGGCGGCCAUCUGGCUCGUAACUGACGCUGAGGCACGAAAGCGUGGGGAUCAAGCAGG
Molecule: ribosomal RNA, 253 nt
Filed under: uncultured bacterium
Lineage: Bacteria
Description: partial 16S ribosomal RNA
Rfam family: Bacterial small subunit ribosomal RNA
Source: RNAcentral